Molecule: ribosomal RNA, 846 nt
Filed under: Staphylococcus aureus
Lineage: Bacteria; Bacillati; Bacillota; Bacilli; Caryophanales; Staphylococcaceae
Description: bacterial SSU rRNA
Rfam family: Bacterial small subunit ribosomal RNA
Source: RNAcentral
UUUAUGGAGAGUUUGAUCCUGGCUCAGGAUGAACGCUGGCGGCGUGCCUAAUACAUGCAAGUCGAGCGAACGGACGAGAAGCUUGCUUCUCUGAUGUUAGCGGCGGACGGGUGAGUAACACGUGGAUAACCUACCUAUAAGACUGGGAUAACUUCGGGAAACCGGAGCUAAUACCGGAUAAUAUUUUGAACCGCAUGGUUCAAAAGUGAAAGACGGUCUUGCUGUCACUUAUAGAUGGAUCCGCGCUGCAUUAGCUAGUUGGUAAGGUAACGGCUUACCAAGGCAACGAUGCAUAGCCGACCUGAGAGGGUGAUCGGCCACACUGGAACUGAGACACGGUCCAGACUCCUACGGGAGGCAGCAGUAGGGAAUCUUCCGCAAUGGGCGAAAGCCUGACGGAGCAACGCCGCGUGAGUGAUGAAGGUCUUCGGAUCGUAAAACUCUGUUAUUAGGGAAGAACAUAUGUGUAAGUAACUGUGCACAUCUUGACGGUACCUAAUCAGAAAGCCACGGCUAACUACGUGCCAGCAGCCGCGGUAAUACGUAGGUGGCAAGCGUUAUCCGGAAUUAUUGGGCGUAAAGCGCGCGUAGGCGGUUUUUUAAGUCUGAUGUGAAAGCCCACGGCUCAACCGUGGAGGGUCAUUGGAAACUGGAAAACUUGAGUGCAGAAGAGGAAAGUGGAAUUCCAUGUGUAGCGGUGAAAUGCGCAGAGAUAUGGAGGAACACCAGUGGCGAAGGCGACUUUCUGGUCUGUAACUGACGCUGAUGUGCGAAAGCGUGGGGAUCAAACAGGAUUAGAUACCCUGGUAGUCCACGCCGUAAACGAUGAGUGCUAAGUGUUAGGGG